RNAcentral lists this ribosomal RNA (816 nucleotides) under uncultured Actinomycetes bacterium. RNAcentral describes it as "bacterial SSU rRNA". It matches the Rfam family "Bacterial small subunit ribosomal RNA", at positions 63 to 855 of the family's 1533-position model. The record is from RNAcentral. Lineage: Bacteria; Bacillati; Actinomycetota; Actinomycetes.
CGAACGCGAAAGUCCCCUUCGGGGGGCGAGUAGAGUGGCGCACGGGUGAGUAACACGUAGGUAAUCUACCUUUGGAUUGGGAAUAACCACCGGAAACGGUGGCUAAUACCGAAUAAUGCAGCGGCACCUAAUGGUGACAGUUGUUAAAGCGGGGGAUCGCAAGACCUCGCGUCUGAAGAGGAGCCUGCGGCAGAUUAGCUAGUUGGUAAGGUAACGGCUUACCAAGGCGAUGAUCUGUAGCCGGCCUGAGAGGGCGGUCGGCCACACUGACACUGACAUACGGGUCAGACUCCUACGGGAGGCAGCAGUCGGGAAUUUUGGGCAAUGGGCGAAAGCCUGACCCAGCAACGCCGCGUGAAGGAUGAAAUCCCUCGGGAUGUAAACUUCGCAAGAACGGGAAGAAUAAGUAAGGGUUAAUAUCUCUUACGAUGACGGUACUGUUUGUAAGCUCCGGCUAACUCCGUGCCAGCAGCCGCGGUAAUACGGGGGGAGCAAGCGUUGUUCGGAUUUACUGGGCGUAAAGGGCGCGUAGGCGGCCACCGCAAGUCGACUGUGAAAUCUCCGGGCUUAACCCGGAAAGGUCAGCCGAUACUGCGGGGCUAGAGUGCAGAAGGGGCAACUGGAAUUCUCGGUGUAGCGGUGAAAUGCGUAGAUAUCGAGAGGAACACCUGCGGCGAAGGCGGGUUGCUGGGCUGACACUGACGCUGAGGCGCGAAAGCUAGGGGAGCGAACGGGAUUAGAUACCCCGGUAGUCCUAGCCUUAAACGAUGAAUGCUUGGUGUCUGGGGUUUUAUAGUCCCCGGGUGCCGUCGCUAA